AGUGAACGCUGGCGGUAGGCCUAACACAUGCAAGUCGAACGGCAGCACAGUAAGAGCUUGCUCUUACGGGUGGCGAGUGGCGGACGGGUGAGGAAUACAUCGGAAUCUACUUUUUCGUGGGGGAUAACGUAGGGAAACUUACGCUAAUACCGCAUACGACCUACGGGUGAAAGCAGGGGAUCUUCGGACCUUGCGCGAUUGAAUGAGCCGAUGUCGGAUUAGCUAGUUGGCGGGGUAAAGGCCCAGCAAGGCGACGAUCCGUAGCUGGUCUGAGAGGAUGAUCAGCCACACUGGAACUGAGACACGGUCCAGACUCCUACGGGAGGCAGCAGUGGGGAAUAUUGGACAAUGGGCGCAAGCCUGAUCCAGCCAUACCGCGUGGGUGAAGAAGGCCUUCGGGUUGUAAAGCCCUUUUGUUGGGAAAGAAAAGCAGCAGGUUAAUACCCCGCUGUUCUGACGGUACCCAAAGAAUAAGCACCGGCUAACUUCGUG
Molecule: ribosomal RNA, 492 nt
Filed under: uncultured bacterium
Lineage: Bacteria
Description: partial 16S ribosomal RNA
Rfam family: Bacterial small subunit ribosomal RNA
Source: RNAcentral